AUGGCGCAACGCGAUCACAAGCAGGAGGAGCCCACGGAGCUGCGGGCGCCGGAGAUCACGCUCUGCGCCAACAGCUGCGGCUUCCCCGGCAACCCGGCCACGCACAACCUCUGCCAGAACUGCUUCUUGGCCGGACCGGCCUCCACGUCGCCGUCUUCCUCCUCCUCCUCUUCUCUACCGGGCGUGUCCGUGUCGACCCCCGUCGUCGACAGGCCGAGGCCGGCGCCGGUGGAGGUCGAGCUCGCCGUUGACCUUGCUCCGGCGAGGACGUCGGUGAACCGGUGCUCCAGCUGCCGGAAGCGCGUGGGGCUGACGGGGUUCCGGUGCCGGUGCGGCGACAUGUUCUGCGGCGAGCACCGGUACUCGGACCGGCACGGGUGCAGCUACGACUACAAGGCCGCCGCCCGGGACGCCAUCGCCCGGGACAACCCCGUGGUGCGCGCCGCCAAGAUCGUCAGGUUCUGA
This 465-nucleotide ribosomal RNA is filed under the name Triticum aestivum (bread wheat). RNAcentral describes it as "partial small subunit ribosomal RNA". Lineage: Eukaryota; Viridiplantae; Streptophyta; Magnoliopsida; Poales; Poaceae. The record is from RNAcentral.